CAGUGGCUGUUGGACUGAUCUGUUGCCACUGGCAACAAGGGAGCUGGAAAAAAUCCAUGGCAACAUGCAUCGGCUGUCACCGGUGCGCUGUAUUUACGUCUGGAGCUUUUGUUUGGAUCUGAAUCAGCUAUCGCCUGAGACAUCUACAGUAUAGAAAGACAGUAAGCAACCACCCACAAACACAUCAGCAAUGGUAUAGCAUCACCCUGGCAACCACCCACAAACACAUCAGCAAUGGUAUAGCAUCACCCUGACAACCACCUACAAACACCUCAGGAAUAGCAUCACAACGCCCUGGCAACCACCCAAAAACACCUCAGCAAUGGUAUAGCAACACCCUGGCAACCACCCACAAAUACCUCAGAAAUGGUAUAGCAACACCCUGGCAACCACCCACAAACACUUCAGCAAUGGAAUAGCAACACCCUGGCAAUCCCCAGCAAAAAAAUAUCUAUGGAAUAGCAACACCCUGGCAAUUCCUCAACAACCACCUAAGCAUUGAUAUACCAACACCCUGGCAACCGCCAACGAAACUCUCAAGAAUAGCUUGACAACGCCCUGGCAACUACCAACAAACACUUCAGCAAUGGAAUAGCAACACCCUGGCAACCACCUAGAAACACCUCAGCAAUUAUAUAAAAAUAAAAUAAUAUGGUGAGUGCUGUUAAACAUGCCAUGAUCACUCACAUUUUCAAACAAACUGUAUAAGUCUACAGUAGAUGCUACUGUAGAUAUAUGUUUGCUCGUAUUUUAUAUAUAUUUUGGGCCAUUAUUCCAGUUAAAUUUGCUGAAGGUUGUGAGACUUCCGACCACAAUUGUCAAAUAACACCUAAUACAUUUUCAAAUGGAAUGAGAUCAAAGGUUUGAUUCAAACCUUGUUGGACUUUCAGCUUUUUGGUCCUGGUACUCUUCAAUGUUAAUUCUGCAUUGUGUUUGGAAUCAUCUGCCCAGCUAAAAGAUGACCUUUCUUGCUAAAUUAACUUGUUUCAGCAGAGGAAAACACACUAGGAUGUUAU
Molecule: long non-coding RNA, 1016 nt
Organism: Triplophysa rosa
Lineage: Eukaryota; Metazoa; Chordata; Actinopteri; Cypriniformes; Nemacheilidae
Exons: 3
Source: RefSeq, a predicted model, not a curated record